CUGCAGUUCGUGCAAACGAACACGUGGCGGCGGCCAUCUUUGUUCAUUCGAACGAGGUCAGCGGUAUGUGUAGCCAAAUCCAUGGAACUGAAAUCGGCUACACAUUUCCGCGAACACCGCUGACCUGUACCUUCUCCCAUACUGAACUUUCAGCCGCAGAGACUAAGUCCCGUUCAGCGAUGGUCAUUUUUUUUAGCCUGAAAUAGACCGACCGGUCAUAAAGGACUU
Molecule: non-coding RNA, 228 nt
Organism: Pelobates cultripes (western spadefoot toad)
Lineage: Eukaryota; Metazoa; Chordata; Amphibia; Anura; Pelobatidae
Source: the annotation of a GenBank genome assembly